GGCACAAAAUAUGAGCCAGGUACUCUUACAAGCAUACAAUAUUCCAUUGAUCGUUACCUAAAGGAAAAAAUAGCCAUUAACAUUAGGAAAGAUGAACUUUUCAAGCAUUUCAACCAUGUCUUGAUUUCAAAGCGAAAACAUUUGAAGGCAUAGGGCAAAGGGAAUUUAAAAUCUAAAGCUGAGCCACUGAUUAAAGAAGAAUUCCAAAGAGCUUCUUGGCAAAGGUGAUGCAUAGAUAUUACUUCAGACGGUAUUGUUGAAUAAUGAUGUUUACUUUUGGACGCGUUGCAGAAAGGACUAUACACACCUUCUUUGGGGAUAUAUAGAGCUGAAAAGGUCAACAGACAAUCGAGAGAGAAGUACACAAACUAGAAAUGGAUCCAGCCGAAAAUAUAACAGAAAUGGACCCAACCUGUUUGCAACACAUGGAGACGAAGUAUGUUCAGUAGCCAUCUUCUAGGAGUGAACACGUCGAAGACCAACCGAUGUUCUUGAUGAUAAUAGCAGACUGUACCUACAAUUAAUACACCCUAAACAGACGUUUGGUAUACUCAUCAGCUUGUUGGAAAAUAAACUUGGACAAAUAAUGAAACAAAUGGCUAAAAAAGAGAAACCUUGAAGGCCGAAAAGUGAAUCACUCCACAAGAAAAACAUUUGCCUAAACUCAUGUUCCGGCAGGUCGACCACCAACAUAAAUUACCCAUCUAGGAAGCUGGAAAGUCCUACAAACAAUAAACGCUUUUUCAACCCCUACUUUAGAUAUCAUAUCUGAUCUAACUAAGCACUGGUUUUGUUCAACAUUCAGGAAACAAGGUUCAAUCCAUUGAGCAUGAACAUACAUCUGUUUUGGCAGUUGUAACUCCAGUAAUGAACACAAGUACCCAUACGUGUAAUACGCUUGAUGCAAGCCAAAGUAUGUCAUCUACGAUCUUAAAACAAAACUCAAAUCCUUUUGCAGUGCUACAUAAACAUUUUGAA
Mya arenaria is the source of this 978-nucleotide long non-coding RNA. RefSeq lists it as uncharacterized. Lineage: Eukaryota; Metazoa; Mollusca; Bivalvia; Myida; Myidae. The transcript is spliced from 3 exons. The record is from RefSeq and is a predicted model, not a curated record.